Molecule: ribosomal RNA, 216 nt
Filed under: Glomeromycotina sp.
Lineage: Eukaryota; Fungi; Glomeromycota
Description: partial small subunit ribosomal RNA
Rfam family: Eukaryotic small subunit ribosomal RNA (bases 40-216)
Source: RNAcentral
GGGUCAGUAGGUUGGUCGUGCCACCGGUACGUACUGGUCUCACUGAUUCCUCCUUCCUGAAGAACCGUAAUGCCAUUAAUUUGGUGUUGCGGGGAAACCGGACUGUUACUUUGAAAAAAUUAGAGUGUUUAAAGCAAGCUAACGCUUGAAUACAUUAGCAUAGAAUAAUGAAAUAGGACGAUCGAUCCUAUUUUGUUGGUUUCUAGGAUUGACGUA